UACGAAGGGGGCUAGCGUUGUUCGGAGUUACUGGGCGUAAAGGGCGCGUAGGCGGCGCACCAAGUCAGGCGUGAAAGCCCUGGGCUCAACCCGGGAAUUGCGCUUGAGACUGGUGUGCUCGAGUACGGGAGAGGAUAGUGGAAUUCCCAGUGUAGAGGUGAAAUUCGUAGAUAUUGGGAAGAACACCGGUGGCGAAGGCGGCUAUCUGGACCGUAACUGACGCUGAGGCGCGAAAGCAUGGGGAGCAAACAGG
This 253-nucleotide ribosomal RNA is filed under the name uncultured bacterium. RNAcentral describes it as "partial 16S ribosomal RNA". It matches the Rfam family "Bacterial small subunit ribosomal RNA", at positions 524 to 776 of the family's 1533-position model. The record is from RNAcentral.